Molecule: unclassified non-coding RNA, 933 nt
Filed under: Leishmania donovani
Lineage: Eukaryota; Euglenozoa; Kinetoplastea; Trypanosomatida; Trypanosomatidae
Description: gene:unknown
Rfam family: Trypanosomatid snoRNA TB10Cs2H1 (bases 54-122)
Source: RNAcentral
CGCCUGCUGCCGAGCGCUGCCCCUCUAGAUCCCUGCUUUCGCUGCCCGCAGCACGGCGUUGUCGGUUGGGCGUGACUCCUUGCACCUCGUAGGUACGACCCUAUCUCGCAACCCCCAGAUUCGCGAGCCCCUGUGCGCGGCGGCUGUGCCGAGUUAUCGAAGACGCAUCACCUUAACCCCUCCCUGCCCUCCCCACUUUAGCCGCUGCGGCUGGCGUGCCGGUGCGCGCGUGCGUCGUGCGAGCUUUGCUGAUGAUGCGUGAGGAGCGCUCCUCCCAUCCUCCAAAAGAGCAGAAUUAACCAACUGACGCUUUCACGGUGCCGUUGCCGCCGCGCCCCUCUGCUCCCCGGCUGCCCUCGCGGGCGGCGGUGCUGCUGAGCGGCCGCUGCGGCUGCGGUGCGUGCGUGAUGCCGAGCGGUGCUGAAUGGCAAAGACUCUGCGCUUGUGUGUGUGCGUGUACGCCGGGCAAGGCUUCCUCUCCGCUCCCCGCCGUGCGGCUGCCAGCAACCGAGAUGAAGCUGAUAUGGUCCGUGUUUCAGAUCCGCGUGACGCAAGUUUCUCUCCUAGUACAUAUCUUCUGAGUUGCUGCUGGCGGCGCGCGCGCAUGUGUAUCUGUGCGUGUGUGUGUGUGUGUGCGGCGCCUGCUGCCGAGCGCUGCCCCUCUAGAUCCCUGCUUUCGCUGCCCGCAGCACGGCGUUGUCGGUUGGGCGUGACUCCUUGCACCUCAUAGGUACGACCCUAUCUCGCAACCCCCAGAUUCGCGAGCCCCUGUGCGCGGCGGCUGUGCCGAGUUAUCGAAGACGCAUCACCUUAACCCCUCCCUGCCCUCCCCACUUUAGCCGCUGCGGCUGGCGUGCCGGUGCGCGCGUGCGUCGUGCGAGCUUUGCUGAUGAUGCGUGAGGAGCGCUCCUCCCAUCCUCCAAAAGAGCAGAA